GAUGACCCUUGGCGGCGUGCCUAACACAUGCAAGUCGAGCGAAGCACUUUGCUUAUAUUCUUCGGAUGAAGAGGAUUGUGACUGAGCGGCGGACGGGUGAGUAACGCGUGGGUAACCUGCCUCAUACGGGGGGAUAACAGUUAGAAAUGACUGCUAAUACCGCAUAAGACCACAGCACCGCAUGGUGCGGGGGUAAAAACUCCGGUGGUAUGAGAUGGACCCGCGUCUGAUUAGCUAGUUGGUAAGGUAACGGCUUACCAAGGCGACGAUCAGUAGCCGACCUGAGAGGGUGACCGGCCACAUUGGGACUGAGACACGGCCCAAACUCCUACGGGAGGCAGCAGUGGGGAAUAUUGCACAAUGGGGGAAACCCUGAUGCAGCGACGCCGCGUGAGCGAAGAAGUAUUUCGGUAUGUAAAGCUCUAUCAGCAGGGAAGAAAAUGACGGUACCUGACUAAGAAGCACUGGCUAAAUACGUGCCAGCAGCCGCGGUAAUACGUAUGGUGCAAGCGUUAUCCGGAUUUACUGGGUGUAAAGGGAGCGUAGACGGAUGGGCAAGUCUGAUGUGAAAACCCGGGGCUCAACCCCGGGACUGCAUUGG
This 601-nucleotide ribosomal RNA is filed under the name uncultured bacterium. RNAcentral's name for it is "bacterial SSU rRNA". It matches the Rfam family "Bacterial small subunit ribosomal RNA", at positions 28 to 629 of the family's 1533-position model. The record is from RNAcentral.